This 650-nucleotide ribosomal RNA is filed under the name uncultured fungus. Its description in RNAcentral is "eukaryotic LSU rRNA". It matches the Rfam family "Eukaryotic large subunit ribosomal RNA", at positions 23 to 641 of the family's 3401-position model. The record is from RNAcentral. Lineage: Eukaryota; Fungi.
ACCCGCUGAACUUAAGCAUAUCAAUAAGCGGAGGAAAAGAAACCAACAGGGAUUGCCUCAGUAACGGCGAGUGAAGCGGCAAGAGCUCAAAUUUAAAAGCCGACGUAGCUUUAAGAGACGUCCGCAUUGUAAUUUGAAGAGGCAUUCUCGGGUCGGGGCUCAGGCCUAAGUUCCUUGGAAGAGGGCGUCGUGGAGGGUGAGAACCCCGUUCGCGGCCUGCUGUCGACCUUUCCCCGAUCCACACGAGGUGCCAUCGAAGAGUCGAGUUGUUUGGGAAUGCAGCUCAAAGCGGGUGGUAAAUUCCAUCUAAAGCUAAAUAUUGACGGGAGACCGAUAGCGAACAAGUAGAGUGAUCGAAAGAUGAAAAGCACUUUGGAAAGAGAGUCAAACAGCACGUGAAAUUGUUGAAAGGGAAGCGCUUGAGACCAGUCACGGACCGAGGCGAUCAGUGGGACGUCCCUCUCGGGGGAGGAACCGCGCACUCGCUUUUCGGGUUUUCCGGGUCAACAUCGGUUGGGACGGUGUCAGAAAGGUCGCGGGAACGUGGCUCCCUUCACGGGGAGUGUUAUAGCCCGUGGCGUCAAAGUCGCCAGUUUCGACCGAGGACCGCGCUCGUCUUUUUCGAGCAAGGAUGUUGACGUAAUGGUCCC